GCCGGGUGUGGUGGCGGGCACCUGUAAUCCCAGCUACUCAGGAGGCUGAGGCAGGAGAAUCACUUGAACCCAGGAGGCAGAGGUUGCAGUGAGCCGAGAUUGCACCACUGCCCUCCAGCCUGGGUGAUAGAGUGAGAUUCAGUCUCAA
This 148-nucleotide non-coding RNA is filed under the name Homo sapiens (human). Lineage: Eukaryota; Metazoa; Chordata; Mammalia; Primates; Hominidae. The record is from Rfam by way of RNAcentral.